Molecule: ribosomal RNA, 456 nt
Filed under: Klebsiella aerogenes
Lineage: Bacteria; Pseudomonadati; Pseudomonadota; Gammaproteobacteria; Enterobacterales; Enterobacteriaceae
Description: partial 23S ribosomal RNA
Rfam family: Bacterial large subunit ribosomal RNA
Source: RNAcentral
GUGUUACUGCGAAGGGGGGACGGAGAAGGCUAUGUUAGCCGGGCGACGGUUGUCCCGGUUUAAGCAUGUAGGCGGAGGUUCCAGGUAAAUCCGGUACCUUUUAACGCUGAGGUGUGAUGACGAGGCACUACGGUGCUGAAGUAACAAAUGCCCUGCUUCCAGGAAAAGCCUCUAAGCAUCAGGUAACAUUGAAUCGUACCCCAAACCGACACAGGUGGUCAGGUAGAGAAUACCAAGGCGCUUGAGAGAACUCGGGUGAAGGAACUAGGCAAAAUGGUGCCGUAACUUCGGGAGAAGGCACGCUGAUAUGUAGGUGAAGCCCCUGCGGGUGGAGCUGAAAUCAGUCGAAGAUACCAGCUGGCUGCAACUGUUUAUUAAAAACACAGCACUGUGCAAACACGAAAGUGGACGUAUACGGUGUGACGCCUGCCCGGUGCCGGAAGGUUAAUUGAUGGG